This 305-nucleotide ribosomal RNA is filed under the name uncultured bacterium. Its description in RNAcentral is "bacterial SSU rRNA". It matches the Rfam family "Bacterial small subunit ribosomal RNA", at positions 335 to 639 of the family's 1533-position model. The record is from RNAcentral.
UUGCCUACGGGAGGCAGCAGUGGGGAAUAUUGCACAAUGGGGGAAACCCUGAUGCAGCGACGCCGCGUGAGUGAAGAAGUAAUUCGUUGCGUAAAGCUCUAUCAGCAGGGAAGAAAUACUGACCUUACGGUCAUCAGACGGUACCUGAGUAAGAAGCCCCGGCUAACUACGUGCCAGCAGCCGCGGUAAUACGUAGGGGGCAAGCGUUAUCCGGAUUUACUGGGGGUAAAGGGAGCGUAGACGGUACGCCAAGUCUGAAGUGAAAUGCCGCAGCUUAACUGCGGAACUGCUUUGGAAACUGGCGG